GGAAGAUCGUCAUCUCCGGUGAGGUGGCUGGACUUCAAAUCCAGUUGGGGCCGAUACCCUUCGCUUUAGCACUUCUCGCCA
Molecule: transfer RNA, 81 nt
Filed under: Klebsiella sp.
Lineage: Bacteria; Pseudomonadati; Pseudomonadota; Gammaproteobacteria; Enterobacterales; Enterobacteriaceae
Description: tRNA-Sec
Source: RNAcentral